RNAcentral lists this long non-coding RNA (932 nucleotides) under Amphimedon queenslandica. RNAcentral's name for it is "uncharacterized LOC109584877, transcript variant X2". The record is from RNAcentral. Lineage: Eukaryota; Metazoa; Porifera; Demospongiae; Haplosclerida; Niphatidae.
UUUUCUGCUCCUUUCUUCCUGCUGUCGUAAGGAAUAGUAGCUCCAAGAGUGAUACGUUUUAUCCAGCCAGACAUGGAAGCGUUAGCCACGCUCAAAAAAACCUCUACAAUCCUUUCAUGGCCGGAGCCUGACUCCCACCAGCCUCAGCCAUGACUAGUGACCUCUCCUGUAACCUACCAAACGAGGCGACUCCACCAGUUGAGGCAGUUAUUCUUGUUCUCUCCUUCAUCUGGUCUCUACUCUUGUCCUCUUCCUAUGACUGAUGGAGGAGCUAGACUAAUUGAAAAUUGAAAGAUUUGGAAACCAAAGCUGAAGACACUCGUCAAAAAGGAGAAGAAAUAACAAAAAUAAUAGCAGAACUUGAAGCCUCUAUAGCAAAAUAUAAAGAAGAAUAUGCAAUGGUUAUAUCUGAUGCUAGUGUUAUUAAGAAUGAUUUAUCAACUGUUGAGAAAAGGGUUAAGUAUUUUAAUAAUUAAAGAUACAUUAAUUAUCUUUUAUUAAUAAUUUAAUUCAUUAAUUAUUCAUUAGGUGAGUUCCUCCUUGAUUUGCGUCACCUUGAGAAGAGUCUCCUCACUGCAUUGAACGAGGUCAAGGGUCGUAUCCUAGAUGACAACAGAAUCAUUACUGAGCUUGAGACUCUUAAGGAAGAGGCUGCAGAAGUUCAGAGGAAAAUGGAGGAGACUGAUACUGUAGUGGCUGAAGUUGACAGAGUCUCCCAGCAAUACCUGCCUCUCUCCACCACCUGCUCUGCCAUGUACUUCACUCUGGAGUCACUCAAUCAGGUAAUUGAAAUCAUGUGACUGUCGUGUGAUUUAGCAGUACUUUAUUUUGAUGGUUUUGCUUGAAAAAUACAUUAGGCCAGCUUUUAAUUGGCAAAUUUGUCCACUCAUGUAUUACUAAACAUUUCACUAUUGAAAAUUUUGAUUGCAAAA